UGCACUCAACGCACUGCAGGGAUGGUGGAAGGUGCAUGUGAACAGGGCAGCAAAGCAAGGUCUGAUUUGGACUUCAUAACCGUGGUAAGGAGCAGAACCUAACACCCACCUUAGGUGUCAGCACAGAGGGAGGGUGCACUGGCGAUGGGGCAGUGUGUGAUCACUGCUCUGGGAUGGCAGCUUGAGAUACACGCAGAGAAGAUCAGCAAAACGGCACUGCAAAAGGAGCAGAACAAAAGCGCCGUGCUUGCUCUCAUUUAAAGAAGUGAGGCAAACACGAGACUUAGCAUCGAGUAGGAAAUACACCGUCUGCUGAGGAGCAGGAAGAGGCUGUCUGUAAGGAGAAGGGAUGGCGAGGAAUACCGCUUGGCACUGCAGCAGCGAUGGAGCAGGCUCUGGGAAUGGGCAGUCAGCCUUCAGAGAGCAGUCAUCAUCUCAGAGGGGUUUUCUUCUUAACAUUUCUUUUCAUUCAUUUUUUGGGGGAAGAAAUGUAACUUAACCGGAUAAAUCCCAUUGCCACAUGAAAGGAAAGCAGAUAAAUUAUUCUUAAUCCUUGAUAUUCACACCCUGCUACUAAGCCACCCCCACAGCACAGUGCACUGUGUGUGGUACCAUUAUACGUGCUGUAGAGCUGGUUAGAUAUAAAGCAGACGCCCUGAUCUCCAAAGCUCCCCUGACACUCUUUGGUGAGUGCAUCAUGGUGGUUCGACCAAAUUCUAAGCUGGGUAGCAACAUCCUUUUCCUUGCUUAAUUCCUCUUGUGCAUUCAAUAAGAUCUGAUAUUCAUUUCCCCUCCCAUAUCUUGUAGCCCUGCUUUGCUCUAUUCCACACUACAAGCAGACAUAGCACAGCAAGGAAUGAAGCGAUUGUUACAACGCCUUUACCAGCCUCACAGGGACAUGAGGAGGAUUAAUUAAUUGCUUUUAUAACCUAAGAUUAAAAAUAGUAUAAUCAUAAUAAAACCCGCUUCCUUCAUUAUCAGAAUCAGUUACUAAAAUCCCCAGUAAAGACAAUACGGGUUUCCUACUAAAAGCAAAAUCGGGACUGUAUCCUAAUCUCACCCCUGCUGGGAGGCACAAAGAAACUAACCCAGACUAACUUUUACGGUCAGGAAAUUAUAUCUCAUUAAA
Long non-coding RNA from Pezoporus flaviventris, 1129 nucleotides. RefSeq lists it as uncharacterized. The transcript has 2 exons. The record is from RefSeq and is a predicted model, not a curated record. NCBI's taxonomy places the organism in Eukaryota, Metazoa, Chordata, Aves, Psittaciformes, Psittacidae.